UCCGACUUGACGUCGGCAGUCUCGUUAGAGUGCCCCACUUAAGGCUGGCAACUAACGACAGAGGUUGCGCUCGUUGCGGGACUUAACCCAACAUCUCACGACACGAGCUGACGACAGCCAUGCAGCACCUCGACUGCAGUCCCUUGCGGGAAGGCCAGUGUUUCCACCGACUGUCCACAGCCGUUCGAGCCCAGGUAAGGUUCUUCGCGUUGCGUCGAAUUGAACCACAUGCUCCACCGCUUGUGCG
RNAcentral lists this unclassified non-coding RNA (247 nucleotides) under uncultured bacterium. Its description in RNAcentral is "contains 16S-23S intergenic spacer region". The record is from RNAcentral.